RNAcentral lists this ribosomal RNA (253 nucleotides) under uncultured bacterium. RNAcentral describes it as "partial 16S ribosomal RNA". It matches the Rfam family "Bacterial small subunit ribosomal RNA", at positions 524 to 776 of the family's 1533-position model. The record is from RNAcentral.
GACGGAGGAUGCAAGUGUUAUCCGGAAUCACUGGGCGUAAAGCGUCUGUAGGUGGUCAAAUAAGUCAACUGUUAAAUCUUGAGGCUUAACCUCAAAAUCGCAGUCGAAACUAUUAGACUAGAGUAUAGUAGGGGUAAAGGGAAUUUCCAGUGGAGCGGUGAAAUGCGUAGAGAUUGGAAAGAACACCGAUGGCGAAGGCACUUUACUGGGCUACUACUAACACUCAGAGACGAAAGCUAGGGUAGCAAAUGGG